CAUGUAUAUAAAACGAAAAUAAAUGAACAAGUAGAAGCAAUUCGAUGCAUGAAUUUUUUACCAAAUUAUUGAAGUUCUGAUAGGGUAUGGAUUGAUAUAAACUUAUCAUCAUUUUUCUUUUUCACUUACUCCCACAUAUUACAUUGUAUGAGAGAAAGUCAAAUUGCAAUUGAAAUUAAGUAUUUCUGAAAAAGAAAAAGUAGGAUUUUGUAUACACUGUUGGCAAAAGAACGAAAUUGCACAAAUGGUGCACUCGCUGCGGAAUAUAUAUGCUAGAUUGUUAAAAUCUUGCGGGAAGGUCUCCUAAAAGGAGAGCCUUUAAUAAGAAAUUAUUCUUUUGGUAGUCAGCUAUUAAAAAUAUUAAAUAAUGACGGAGAAUCGGGGGAAUUUUUCAACUCCAACGAAUCAAAGUUCUAGCAGACCAUUUAAUUUUCAACAUUUGGAUUUUGGAUCUAUUAAUGAUGUUCAAAAUGAAAU
Bombus pascuorum is the source of this 477-nucleotide long non-coding RNA. RefSeq lists it as uncharacterized. The transcript has 2 exons. The record is from RefSeq and is a predicted model, not a curated record. NCBI's taxonomy places the organism in Eukaryota, Metazoa, Arthropoda, Insecta, Hymenoptera, Apidae.